UACGUAGGGGGCAAGCGUUGUCCGGAAUCAUUGGGCGUAAAGAGCGUGUAGGCGGCCCGGUAAGUCCGCUGUGAAAGUCCAGGGCUCAACCCUGGGAUGCCGGUGGAUACUGUCGGGCUCGAGUCCGGAAGAGGAGUGUGGAAUUCCUGGUGUAGCGGUGAAAUGCGCAGAUAUCAGGAAGAACACCAAUGGCGAAAGCAGCUUUCUGGGACGGUACUGACGCUGAGACGCGAAAGCGUGGGGAGCGAACAGG
RNAcentral lists this ribosomal RNA (253 nucleotides) under uncultured bacterium. RNAcentral describes it as "partial 16S ribosomal RNA". It matches the Rfam family "Bacterial small subunit ribosomal RNA", at positions 524 to 776 of the family's 1533-position model. The record is from RNAcentral.